This 460-nucleotide ribosomal RNA is filed under the name uncultured bacterium. RNAcentral describes it as "partial 16S ribosomal RNA". It matches the Rfam family "Bacterial small subunit ribosomal RNA", at positions 338 to 795 of the family's 1533-position model. The record is from RNAcentral.
CCUACGGGAGGCAGCAGUGAGGAAUAUUGGUCAAUGGGCUUAUGCCUGAACCAGCCAAGUCGCGUGAGGGAAGACUGCCCUAUGGGUUGUAAACCUCUUUUGUCAGGGAGCAACGCCGGCUACGUGUAGCCGGACUGAGAGUACCUGAAGAAAAAGCAUCGGCUAACUCCGUGCCAGCAGCCGCGGUAAUACGGAGGAUGCGAGCGUUAUCCGGAUUUAUUGGGUUUAAAGGGUGCGUAGGCGGAAUGCCAAGUCAGCGGGAAAAUCGCGGGGCUCAACCUCGCUCCGCCGUUGAAACUGGCGUUCUUGAGUGGGCGAGAAGUAUGCGGAAUGCGUGGUGUAGCGGUGAAAUGCAUAGAUAUCACGCAGAACUCCGAUUGCGAAGGCAGCAUACCGGCGCCCGACUGACGCUGAGGCUCGAAAGCGUGGGGAGCAAACAGGAUUAGAUACCCUAGUAGUC